This 848-nucleotide ribosomal RNA is filed under the name uncultured bacterium. RNAcentral's name for it is "bacterial SSU rRNA". It matches the Rfam family "Bacterial small subunit ribosomal RNA", at positions 625 to 1474 of the family's 1533-position model. The record is from RNAcentral.
UCCCAAAACUAACUCACUAGAGUACGAUAGAGGGAGGUAGAAUUCAUAGUGUAGCGGUGGAAUGCGUAGAUAUUAUGAAGAAUACCAGUGGCGAAGGCGGCCUCCUGGAUCUGUACUGACACUGAGGUGCGAAAGCGUGGGUAGCGAACAGGAUUAGAUACCCUGGUAGUCCACGCCGUAAACGAUGACAACUAGCUGUUAGGAGACUAUGUCUUUUAGUGGCGCAGCUAACGUUUUAAGUUGUCCGCCUGGGGAGUACGGCCGCAAGGCUAAAACUCAAAUGAAUUGACGGGGACCCGCACAAGCAGUGGAUCAUGUGGUUUAAUUCGAUGCAACGCGAAAAACCUUACCUACUCUUGACAUACUUGGAAGCUCUUGUAAUGAGAGUGUGCUUUUAAGAACCAAGAUACAGGUGCUGCAUGGCUGUCGUCAGCUCGUGUCGUGAGAUGUUCCGUUAAGUCGGAUAACGAGCGCAACCCUUACCCUUAUUUGCCAGCGAUUCGGUCGGGAACUAUAAGGGGACUGCCGGUGAUAAACCGGAGGAAGGUGAGGACGACGUCAAGUCAUCAUGGCCCUUACGAGUAGGGCUACACACGUGAUACAAUGGGAGAGACAGACGGACGCUAAGCCGCGAGGUGGUGCUAAUCCUAGAAACUCUCUCGUAGUCCGGAUUGGAGUCUGCAACUCGACUCCAUGAAGUUGGAAUUGCUAGUAAUCGCGGAUCAGCAUGCCGCGGUGAAUACGUUCUCGGGUCUUGUACACACCGCCCGUCACACCAUGGAAGUGGAUUGCACCAGAAGUAGAUAGUCUAACCUUAGGGAAGGCCUUUACCACGGUGUGCUUCAUGA